Molecule: ribosomal RNA, 1395 nt
Filed under: uncultured Candidatus Altimarinota bacterium
Lineage: Bacteria; Candidatus Altimarinota
Description: bacterial SSU rRNA
Rfam family: Bacterial small subunit ribosomal RNA
Source: RNAcentral
GGUGAACGCUAGCGGUGCGCCUAACACAUGCAAGUCGAGCGGUAGACUUUCUAGCUUGCCAGAGAGUUGAGAGCGGCGAACGGGUGAGUAACACGUUGGAAUCUGCCCCAAGUCAGGGAUAGCCCAGGGAAACCUGGAUUAAUACCGGAUAGUCUCUUCGGAGUAAAAAUUUAUUGCUUGGGGAGGAUCCUGCGGUUCAUCAGCUUGUUGGUAAGGUAAUGGCUUACCAAGGCUAUGACGGAUAGCUGGUCUGAGAGGAUGAUCAGCCACAAUGGAACUGAGACACGGUCCAUACUCCUACGGGAGGCAGCAGUGAGGAAUCUUCCACAAUGGACGAAAGUCUGAUGGAGCGACACCGCGUGAAGGAUGAAGGUCUGACGGUUGUAAACUUCUUUUCUGAGGGAGCAUAAUGAGAGUACCUUAGGAAUAAGGGGGGCUAAUUACGUGCCAGCAGCCGCGGUAAUACGUAAUCCCCAAGCGUUACCCGGAAUUACUGGGUGUAAAGGGUUCGUAGGCGGGUUAAUAAGUUGGAUAUGAAAGACCGGAGCUCAACUCCGUGUUAGUGUUCAAAACUAUCAACCUAGAAUCAGGAAGAGGUAAGCGGAAUUCUAAGUGUAGGGGUGCAAUCCGUAGAUACUUAGAAGAACACCAAAAGCGAAGGCAGCUUACUGGUACUGUAUUGACGCUGAGGAACGAAAGCGUGGGUAGCGAAAAGGAUUAGAUACCCUUGUAGUCCACGCCCUAAACGAUGAUAACUAAGUGUUGGGAUUUAUUCUCAGUGCUGAAGCUAACGCGUUAAGUUAUCCACCUGAGGAGUACGGUCGCAAGAUUAAAACUCAAAGGAAUAGACGGGGACCCACACAAGCAGUGGAUCACGUGGUUUAAUUCGACAAUAAACGGGGAAUCUUACCCAGGCUUGACAUCCUAAGAACUCUUUAGAGAUAGAGAGGUGCCCUUACGGGAGCUUAGAGACAGGUGCUGCAUGGUUGUCGUCAGCUCGUGCCUUGAGGUGUUCGGUUAAGUCCGUUAACGAGCGCAACCCAUGUCUUUAGUUAUUAUGUCUAAAGAGACUGCCUUGGUUAACAAGGAGGAAGGUGUGGAUGACGUCAAAUCAGCAUGGCUUUUACGCCUGGGGCUACACACAUGAUACAAUGGUAUGUACAAAGAGCAGCAAAAUCGUAAGGUUGAGCGAAUCUUAAAAGCAUAUCUCAGUCCGGAUUGAGGUCUGCAACUCGACCUCAUGAAGUUGGAAUUGCUAGUAAUCGUGAAUCAGAUAUGUCACGGUGAAUAUGUUCCUGGGUCUUGUACUCACCGCCCGUCACGGCAUGGGAGGUAGUAAUAUCGGAAGCUCCUCUAGUAAUAAGAGGGUCCAUGGUAGGACUACUGACUGGGCUG